AGAGUUUGAUCCUGGCUCAGAUUGAACGCUGGCGGCAUGCCUUACACAUGCAAGUCGAACGGCAGCAUGAUCUAGCUUGCUAGAUUGAUGGCGAGUGGCGAACGGGUGAGUAAUACAUCGGAACGUGCCCUGUAGUGGGGGAUAACUAGUCGAAAGAUUAGCUAAUACCGCAUACGACCUGAGGGUGAAAGUGGGGGACCGCAAGGCCUCAUGCUAUAGGAGCGGCCGAUGUCUGAUUAGCUAGUUGGUGGGGUAAAGGCCCACCAAGGCGACGAUCAGUAGCUGGUCUGAGAGGAUGACCAGCCACACUGGGACUGAGACACGGCCCAGACUCCUACGGGAGGCAGCAGUGGGGAAUUUUCCGCAAUGGGCGAAAGCCUGACGGAGCAAUACCGCGUGAGGGAGGAAGGCUCUUGGGUUGUAAACCUCUUUUCUCAGGGAAUAAGAAAGUGAAGGUACCUGAGGAAUCAGCAUCGGCUAACUCCGUGCCAGCAGCCGCGGUAAUA
This 506-nucleotide ribosomal RNA is filed under the name uncultured beta proteobacterium. Its description in RNAcentral is "bacterial SSU rRNA". It matches the Rfam family "Bacterial small subunit ribosomal RNA", at positions 8 to 525 of the family's 1533-position model. The record is from RNAcentral. Lineage: Bacteria; Pseudomonadati; Pseudomonadota; Betaproteobacteria.